AACGAACGCUGGCGGCAUGCCUAACACAUGCAAGUCGAACGAGACCUUCGGGUCUAGUGGCGCACGGGUGCGUAACGCGUGGGAACCUGCCUUUAGGUUCGGAAUAAUUCAGAGAAAUUUGAGCUAAUACCGGAUGAUGUCUUCGGACCAAAGAUUUAUCGCCUUUAGAUGGGCCCGCGUUGGAUUAGCUAGUUGGUGGGGUAAAGGCCUACCAAGGCGACGAUCCAUAGCUGGUCUGAGAGGAUGAUCAGCCACACUGGGACUGAGACACGGCCCAGACUCCUACGGGAGGCAGCAGUGGAGAAUAUUGGACAAUGGGCGAAAGCCUGAUACAGCAAUGCCGCGUGAGUGAUGAAGGCCUUAGGGUUGUAAAGCUCUUUUACCCGAGAUGAUAAUGACAGUAUCGGGAGAAUAAGCUCCGGCUAACUCCGUG
RNAcentral lists this ribosomal RNA (433 nucleotides) under uncultured bacterium. Its description in RNAcentral is "partial 16S ribosomal RNA". It matches the Rfam family "Bacterial small subunit ribosomal RNA", at positions 29 to 507 of the family's 1533-position model. The record is from RNAcentral.